RNAcentral lists this ribosomal RNA (301 nucleotides) under uncultured bacterium. RNAcentral's name for it is "partial 16S ribosomal RNA". It matches the Rfam family "Bacterial small subunit ribosomal RNA", at positions 509 to 808 of the family's 1533-position model. The record is from RNAcentral.
CAGUCGCCGCGGGGAAUACGAAGGGGGCUAGCGUCGUUCGGAUUUACUGGGCGUAAAGCGCACGUAGGCGGACUUUUAAGUCAGGGGUGAAAUCCCAGAGCUCAACUCUGGAACUGCCUUUGAUACUGGAAGUCUUGAGUAUGGUAGAGGUGAGUGGAAUUCCGAGUGUAGAGGUGAAAUUCGUAGAUAUUCGGAGGAACACCAGUGGCGAAGGCGGCUCACUGGACCAUUACUGACGCUGAGGUGCGAAAGCGUGGGGAGCAAACAGGAUUAGAUACCCCGGUAGUCCCUGUCUCUUAUA